GAUGAAGAACGUAGCGAAAUGCGAUACGUAAUGUGAAUUGCAAAUUCAGUGAAUCAUCGAGUCUUUGAACGCACAUUGCGCCCCCUGGUAUUCCGGGGGGCAUGCCUGUCCGAGCGUCAUUGCUGCCCUCAAGCACGGCUUGUGUGUUGGGCCCCGUCCUCCGAUCCCGGGGGACGGGCCCGAAAGCCAGCGGCGGCACCGCGUCCGGUCCUCGAGCGUAUGGGGCUUUGUCACCCGCUCUGUAGGCCCGGCCGGCGCUUGCCGAUCAACCCAAAUUUUUUAUCCAGGUUGACCUCGGAUCAGGUAGGGAUACCCGCUGAACUUAAGCAUAUCAAUAAGCGGAGGA
RNAcentral lists this unclassified non-coding RNA (346 nucleotides) under soil metagenome. RNAcentral's name for it is "partial contains 5.8S ribosomal RNA, internal transcribed spacer 2, and large subunit ribosomal RNA". The stretch from base 1 to 119 matches the Rfam family "5.8S ribosomal RNA", at positions 35 to 154 of the family's 154-position model. The record is from RNAcentral.